This 110-nucleotide Y RNA is filed under the name Cebus imitator (Panamanian white-faced capuchin). Its description in RNAcentral is "Y RNA (ENSCCAG00000002005.1)". It matches the Rfam family "Y RNA". From Rfam's summary of the family: Y RNAs are components of the Ro ribonucleoprotein particle (Ro RNP), in association with Ro60 and La proteins. The Y RNAs and Ro60 and La proteins are well conserved, but the function of the Ro RNP is not known. In humans the RNA component can be one of four small RNAs -- hY1, hY3, hY4 and hY5. Lineage: Eukaryota; Metazoa; Chordata; Mammalia; Primates; Cebidae. The record is from Rfam by way of RNAcentral.
GGCUGGUCUGAAGGUAGUGAGUUAUCUCAAUUGAUUGUUCACAGUCAGUUACAGAUCGAACUUGUUCUACUCUUUCCCCCCGUCUCACUACUGCACUUCACUAGUCUAUA